This 460-nucleotide ribosomal RNA is filed under the name uncultured bacterium. RNAcentral describes it as "partial 16S ribosomal RNA". It matches the Rfam family "Bacterial small subunit ribosomal RNA", at positions 338 to 795 of the family's 1533-position model. The record is from RNAcentral.
CCUACGGGGAGCAGCAGUGAGGAAGAUUGGUCAAUGGGCGCGAGCCUGAACCAGCCAAGUAGCGUGAAGGAUGACUGCCCUACGGGUUGUAAACUUCUUUUAUAAAGGAAUAAAGUGAGGCAAGUGUGCCUUUUUGUAUGUACUUUAUGAAUAAGGAGCGGCUAACUCAGUGCCAGCAGCCGCGGUAAUACGGAGGAUCUGAGCGGUCUCCGGAUUUAUUGGGUUUAAAGGGAGCGUAUAAGGGCUGUUAAGACAGUUGUGAAAGUUUGCGGCUCAACCGUAAAAUUGCAAUUGAUACUGGCAGCCUUGUGUACAGUUGGGGUAGGCGGAAUUCGUGGUGUAGCGGUGAAAUGCUUAGAUAUCACGAAGAACUCCGAUUGCGAAGGCAGCCUACUAAACUGCCACUGACAUUGAUGCUCGAAAGUGUGGGUAUCAAACAGGAUUAGAUACCCUUGUAGUC